AUGGAUUUGUACGUAUGUGGACAAAGUCAUACAUAUGUGCAAGGCUUUCCUGUUGUUGUUCUUUCCCCCCUCUUGCUUUUCCCCUCUCCUCCCCAACAGCUGACAGCAAAGGCGAAAGCUGGUGAGAAGCCAAGCUGGAAAAGGCCACUAGGCUCAGUUACAGUAACAGAGAGGGAGAAAAAAAACUGUUUUUGGAGAUGUUUGGAAAUAGGUGGCUUAUCAGACCUCUCGAACAGGUUGUUGGAGAUGUUUGGACAACUGCAAUGGAAAAGGGAGAUUACCCAUCUAUCGCUUCUACUGGAUUCCACUACUUUGACAAUUUAUUUAGGAAUGAGGAAGUACUCCAUCACUCCAUCCAGGACUCGGUGUCACAAAUGGAUGAUGAAGUGGCAGCUCCCCCUGUGGCCGGAAUCGGGCAUACCCUCAUGAACCCGGAAGCUGGAAAAUGUUAAAUUGCCUCUGUGUCUGUCUGUCUGUCUAUAUGCCGUAUGUCUAAUAGCAUUGAAUGUUUGCCAUGUAUAUGUGCAUUGUGAUCCGCCCUGAGUCUCCUUUGGGGUGAGAAAGGCAGAAUAUAAAUACUGUAAAUAAAUAAAUUAAUAAAUAAAUUUAUUUGCUGACAUUGCCAUAUCAAUAUUUGGCCAUCUAGAUGUUUUGGACUACAAUUCCCACAAACUCUUACUACUGGAUAUAUGCUAGUUGGGGCUUAUGAGGGCUGUAGCUUAAAAUUUUUCUAAAGGGUGAAAGAUCCUGCCAUUUGUUUUGUGUCAAAAGCAUUGCACAAAUAAGUAUAAAACUGAUAAAAUGGAGGGAACACAAGCAGCUAAAUAAUUUUAGAUUAAAAAUGGGCAACAGCAACCAGAUUGUCUGUAGCUUUAAAUGAUUCUUCCUCUGUGCAUGAGGCAGGACAUUAGCAUAAAGAUGCAGAGUUGUUUGUUCUGCUCCACAGUCGCACAAGGUGGAGGAUUCUUCUAGGUAGCGUCAUUUUGCCAGGUUGUCUUUUGAUCUGCCAACUCCACUUCUGAGUUUGUUCAGGGACUUCCAAGUUGCCCAUUCUUGAUUUGUCCCUCGAGAAAGACCCUUGUGGGGAGAUAUCCAGUUGGAAUUGCCUGAUUUUGCUGCCAAA
This 1123-nucleotide long non-coding RNA is filed under the name Anolis carolinensis (green anole). Its description in RNAcentral is "lncRNA (ENSACAG00000041387.1)". The record is from RNAcentral. Lineage: Eukaryota; Metazoa; Chordata; Lepidosauria; Squamata; Anolidae.